UGGGGAAUAUUGCACAAUGGGCGCAAGCCUGAUGCAGCCAUGCCGCGUGUAUGAAGAAGGCCUUCGGGUUGUAAAGUACUUUCAGCGGGGAAGAAGGUGUUGAGGCUAAUAACCUCAGCAAUUGACGUUACCCGCAGAAGAAGCACCGGCUAACUCCGUGCCAGCAGCCGCGGUAAUACGGAGGGUGCAAGCGUUAAUCGGAAUUACUGGGCGUAAAGCGCACGCAGGCGGUCUGUCAAGUCGGAUGUGAAAUCCCCGGGCUCAACCUGGGAACUGCAUUCGAAACUGGCAGGCUAGAGUCUUGUAGAGGGGGGUAGAAUUCCAGGUGUAGCGGUGAAAUGCGUAGAGAUCUGGAGGAAUACCGGUGGCGAAGGCGGCCCCCUGGACAAAGACUGACGCUCAGGUGCGAAAGCGUGGGGAGCAAACA
This 427-nucleotide ribosomal RNA is filed under the name uncultured bacterium. RNAcentral describes it as "partial 16S ribosomal RNA". It matches the Rfam family "Bacterial small subunit ribosomal RNA", at positions 355 to 774 of the family's 1533-position model. The record is from RNAcentral.